AAUUGGAGCGGCCGAUGUCGGAUUAGCUAGUUGGUGAGGUAAAAGCUCACCAAGGCGACGAUCCGUAGCUGGUCUGAGAGGAUGAUCAGCCACACUGGAACUGAGACACGGUCCAGACUCCUACGGGAGGCAGCAGUGGGGAAUUUUGGACAAUGGGCGAAAGCCUGAUCCAGCCAUGCCGCGUGAGUGAAGAAGGCCUUCGGGUUGUAAAGCUCUUUCAGACGGAAAGAAAUAGC
RNAcentral lists this ribosomal RNA (236 nucleotides) under uncultured bacterium. Its description in RNAcentral is "partial 16S ribosomal RNA". It matches the Rfam family "Bacterial small subunit ribosomal RNA", at positions 219 to 454 of the family's 1533-position model. The record is from RNAcentral.